CCUACGGGAGGCUGCAGUGAGGAAUAUUGGUCAAUGGGCGGGAGCCUGAACCAGCCAAGCCGCGUGAGGGAAGAAGGUACAGCGUAUCGUAAACCUCUGUUGUCAGGGAACAAAGGCGGGGACGAGUCCCCGGAUGAGGGUACCUGAAGAAAAAGCAUCGGCUAACUCCGUGCCAGCAGCCGCGGUAAUACGGAGGAUGCGAGCGUUAUCCGGAUUUAUUGGGUUGAAAGGGAGCGUAGGUGGAUUGUUAAGUCCGUGGUGAAAGUUUGCGGCUCCACCGUAAAAUUGCAGUUGCAACUGGCAGUCUUUAGUACAGUAUCGGUGGGCGUAAUUCGUGGUGUAGCGG
This 346-nucleotide ribosomal RNA is filed under the name uncultured bacterium. RNAcentral describes it as "partial 16S ribosomal RNA". It matches the Rfam family "Bacterial small subunit ribosomal RNA", at positions 338 to 681 of the family's 1533-position model. The record is from RNAcentral.